GACGAACGCUGGCGGCGUGCUUAACACAUGCAAGUCGAACGGAAAGGCCCUGCUUUUGUGGGGUGCUCGAGUGGCGAACGGGUGAGUAACACGUGAGUAACCUGCCCUUGACUUUGGGAUAACUUCAGGAAACUGGGGCUAAUACCGGAUAGGAGCUCCUGCUGCAUGGUGGGGGUUGGAAAGUUUCGGCGGUUGGGGAUGGACUCGCGGCUUAUCAGCUUGUUGGUGGGGUAGUGGCUUACCAAGGCUUUGACGGGUAGCCGGCCUGAGAGGGUGACCGGCCACCUUGGGACUGAGAUACGGCCCAGACUCCUACGGGAGGCAGCAGUGGGGAAUAUUGCCCAAUGGGCGGAAGCCUGAUGCAGCAACGCCGCGUGCGGGAUGACGGCCUUCGGGGUGUAAACCGCUUUCGCCUGUGACGAAGCGUGAGUGACGGUAAUGGGUAAAGAAGCACCGGCUAACUACGUG
Molecule: ribosomal RNA, 468 nt
Filed under: uncultured bacterium
Lineage: Bacteria
Description: partial 16S ribosomal RNA
Rfam family: Bacterial small subunit ribosomal RNA
Source: RNAcentral